RNAcentral lists this ribosomal RNA (589 nucleotides) under Lodderomyces parapsilosis. RNAcentral describes it as "eukaryotic LSU rRNA". It matches the Rfam family "Eukaryotic large subunit ribosomal RNA", at positions 52 to 657 of the family's 3401-position model. Lineage: Eukaryota; Fungi; Ascomycota; Pichiomycetes; Serinales; Debaryomycetaceae. The record is from RNAcentral.
GGAGGAAAAGAAACCAACAGGGAUUGCCUUAGUAGCGGCGAGUGAAGCGGCAAAAGCUCAAAUUUGAAAUCUGGCACUUUCAGUGUCCGAGUUGUAAUUUGAAGAAGGUAUCUUUGGGUCUGGCUCUUGUCUAUGUUUCUUGGAACAGAACGUCACAGAGGGUGAGAAUCCCGUGCGAUGAGAUGUCCCAGACCUAUGUAAAGUUCCUUCGAAGAGUCGAGUUGUUUGGGAAUGCAGCUCUAAGUGGGUGGUAAAUUCCAUCUAAAGCUAAAUAUUGGCGAGAGACCGAUAGCGAACAAGUACAGUGAUGGAAAGAUGAAAAGAACUUUGAAAAGAGAGUGAAAAAGUACGUGAAAUUGUUGAAAGGGAAGGGCUUGAGAUCAGACUUGGUAUUUUGUAUGUUACUCUCUCGGGGGUGGCCUCUACAGUUUACCGGGCCAGCAUCAGUUUGAGCGGUAGGAUAAGUGCAAAGAAAUGUGGCACUGCUUCGGUAGUGUGUUAUAGUCUUUGUCGAUACUGCCAGCUUAGACUGAGGACUGCGGCUUCGGCCUAGGAUGUUGGCAUAAUGAUCUUAAGUCGCCCGUCUUGA